AGUCUGUAGUGAGAAUUCGUUUUC
Molecule: non-coding RNA, 24 nt
Filed under: Cricetulus griseus (Chinese hamster)
Lineage: Eukaryota; Metazoa; Chordata; Mammalia; Rodentia; Cricetidae
Source: RNAcentral